CCAACGACCAAAGCAAAGGACAGCAUAACUGAAUGACACAUUGCUCAGAAAAUAUCCAAAGCUCUGUACGCUCUGGAAAGGAAGGCAAGAAUUGCUAAAGACUCUGGAUAUUGCUCUGUUUCUAUAAGGUCCCACCCAUAUACCAUCUCUUCUUUUGGAUUUCCUUUGGCAGGGUUCCCUUGUAUGGAAGUUCUCGGGAGAACAACACUCUCAGAGUCCCAUUGUCUCAAAGAAUUCUUAAUGGACAGCUAUACUUGGCCCCAAGGUUCCAACCUCACAUUGAAGAAAGUGACAUAAGAAAACACAAGUCCCAGCGCUAUCAGGGGCUAUCUGGAAAAGCUGCUUAAACGGCAAGUGAAAGAAGGCUCUCCCCUACCCCGUUCUAGGACAGAUUCCAAGCCUCUUGGAUAAGACUGAAGCCCUCCAUCACAGCCCAUCAAUCCGUUUCCUGGAGUUUGGAACCACAGCCAUGUGCCUCAUCAGUGUAAGACUGAGUCUCAGCUCUCACUUCAAGGAGGACUCAAGACAAGCAAAAGAAGUAAACUUUUGCUGGGUGCAGUGGCUCACACCUGUAAUCCCAGCACUUUGGGAGGCCAAGGCGGGUGGAUUACUUGAGGUCAGCAGUUUGAGACCAACCUGACCAACAUGAUGAAAUGUUGUCUGUACAAACAUUUCAUCAUAUGUUGUCUGUACAAAAUACAAAAAUUAGGCUGGGCGCCAUGGCUCAUCCCUGUAAUCCCAGUAC
This 745-nucleotide non-coding RNA is filed under the name Pongo abelii (Sumatran orangutan). The record is from RNAcentral. Lineage: Eukaryota; Metazoa; Chordata; Mammalia; Primates; Hominidae.